UACGGAAGGCAGCAGGGGGGAAUAUUGCACAAUGGGCGCAAGCCUGAUGCAGCCAUGCCGCGUGUAUGAAGAAGGCCUUCGGGGUUGUAAAGUACUUUCAGUCGUGAGGAAGGUGUUAAGGUUAAUAACCUUAGCAAUUGACGUUAGCGACAGAAGAAGCACCGGCUAACUCCGUGCCAGCAGCCGCGGUAAUACGGAGGGUGCGAGCGUUAAUCGGAAUUACUGGGCGUAAAGGGCACGCAGGCGGUUAAUUAAGUUGGAUGUGAAAUCCCCGGGCUUAACCUGGGAAUGGCAUUCAAGACUGGUUAGCUAGAGUCUUGUAGAGGGGGUAGAAUUCCAUGUGUAGCGGUGAAAUGCGUAGAGAUGUGGAGGAAUACCGGUGGCGAAGGCGGCCCCUGGACAAAGACUGACGCUCAUGUGCGAAAGCGUGGGGAGCAAACGAGGGAUUAGAUACC
RNAcentral lists this ribosomal RNA (455 nucleotides) under uncultured bacterium. RNAcentral describes it as "bacterial SSU rRNA". It matches the Rfam family "Bacterial small subunit ribosomal RNA", at positions 340 to 786 of the family's 1533-position model. The record is from RNAcentral.